UACGAAGGGGGCUAGCGUUGCUCGGAAUCACUGGGCGUAAAGGGUGCGUAGGCGGGUUUUUAAGUCAGGGGUGAAAUCCUGGAGCUCAACUCCAGAACUGCCUUUGAUACUGAAGAUCUUGAGUCCGGGAGAGGUGAGUGGAACUGCGAGUGUAGAGGUGAAAUUCGUAGAUAUUCGCAAGAACACCAGUGGCGAAGGCGGCUCACUGGCCCGGUACUGACGCUGAGGUGCGAAAGCGUGGGGAGCAAACAGG
This 253-nucleotide ribosomal RNA is filed under the name uncultured bacterium. RNAcentral's name for it is "partial 16S ribosomal RNA". It matches the Rfam family "Bacterial small subunit ribosomal RNA", at positions 524 to 776 of the family's 1533-position model. The record is from RNAcentral.